CCUACGGGUGGCAGCAGUGGGGAAUAUUGGACAAUGGGCGAAAGCCUGAUCCAGCCAUGCCGUGUGUGUGAAGAAGGCCUUCGGGUUGUAAAGCACUUUCAGUGGGGAAGAAAGCCUUGGGGCUAAUACCCUCGAGGAAGGACAUCACCCACAGAAGAAGCACCGGCUAACUCCGUGCCAGCAGCCGCGGUAAUACGGAGGGUGCGAGCGUUAAUCGGAAUUACUGGGCGUAAAGCGCGCGUAGGCGGUCUGAUAAGCCGGUUGUGAAAGCCCCGGGCUCAACCUGGGAACGGCAUCCGGAACUGUCAGGCUAGAGUGCAGGAGAGGAAGGGAGAAUUCCCGGUGUAGCGGUGAAAUGCGUAGAGAUCGGGAGGAAUACCAGUGGCGAAGGCGGCCUUCUGGACUGACACUGACGCUGAGGUGCGAAAGCGUGGGUAGCAAACAGGAUUAGAUACCCGGGUAGUC
This 465-nucleotide ribosomal RNA is filed under the name Vreelandella stevensii. RNAcentral describes it as "partial 16S ribosomal RNA". It matches the Rfam family "Bacterial small subunit ribosomal RNA", at positions 338 to 795 of the family's 1533-position model. Lineage: Bacteria; Pseudomonadati; Pseudomonadota; Gammaproteobacteria; Oceanospirillales; Halomonadaceae. The record is from RNAcentral.